This 726-nucleotide long non-coding RNA is filed under the name Helianthus annuus (common sunflower). Lineage: Eukaryota; Viridiplantae; Streptophyta; Magnoliopsida; Asterales; Asteraceae. The record is from RNAcentral.
UAAUACACCAAAAGCUACUGGCCAUAUCUGAUUUUUGCAACUCCAGCAAACCCACUGGUAAUUCCCUUCCUCUCAUAUGGCGAUUUACGGCAAGAGACCACCGCCUUCACUCGUCGCUUAUUUUUGGGGCUAUUAGGGUUCGUCGAGCAAGUCCAGUGAGUUCAGUUGUAAGACGGCGACAACGGUGGCGGCCACGGUUCCUUUGGCCUCCGGUCUCUUCGUAUCAAGCACAUCUCUCUCUUUAGGCGUCAAUUUCAUUUUGGGUAUCACCUGGAGAAGGAACCGGUGCGAGUGUGCGACAAUGUCGGAUGAUGAUGAUGAUCAAGUGGACAGUGAUGCGAAUUUGUUUGAUGGGAUGGGUUGCAGUGCUGGAUUGAUCUCUAUUGAUCUUGCCAAACAGCUGAAUAUAUAUAGUUGAAUGCUUAGAGCAUCUUGCUUUGCAACUAUGGCAAUCAGGGAGCUGCUCAAAACAUCAACUUCUAAGAGUUGCUUGGCAAAGGAAUGUGAAGAUGGAUGUUGCUGAUAGCCUGAUACUACUUGGAAGCUAGAUGAAGCUGGAUUUUUGAAGACAGUAGAUCUGUUUUUGUGUAGUGUAGAACUGUAGAUUUUGCUUUUGUUUUGUUUUAUACUUUUAUGUAUGGUUUAAGGCUUAGAGUUCAUGUUUUGCACAAAUGGAACAUAAAUGUUAUUGAGUUUUGAACAUAGUAAUUAUUUUGACCGCCUGCA